Molecule: ribosomal RNA, 497 nt
Filed under: uncultured bacterium
Lineage: Bacteria
Description: partial 16S ribosomal RNA
Rfam family: Bacterial small subunit ribosomal RNA
Source: RNAcentral
GAUGAACGCUGGCGGCGUGCCUAAUACAUGCAAGUCGAGCGAACAGACGAGGAGCUUGUUCCUCUGACGUUAGCGGCGGACGGGUGAGUAACACGUGGAUAACCUACCUAUAAGACUGGGAUAACUUCGGGAAACCGGAGCUAAUACCGGAUAAUAUAUUGAACCGCAUGGUUCAAUAGUGAAAGACGGUUUUGCUGUCACUUAUAGAUGGAUCCUCGCCGCAUUAGCUAGUUGGUAAGGUAACGGCUUACCAAGGCAACGAUGCGUAGCCGACCUGAGAGGGUGAUCGGCCACACUGGAACUGAGACACGGUCCAGACUCCUACGGGAGGCAGCAGUAGGGAAUCUUCCGCAAUGGGCGAAAGCCUGACGGAGCAACGCCGCGUGAGUGAUGAAGGUCUUCGGAUCGUAAAACUCUGUUAUUAGGGAAGAACAAAUGUGUAAGUAACUAUGCACGUCUUGACGGUACCUAAUCAGAAAGCCACGGCUAACUACGUG